This 497-nucleotide ribosomal RNA is filed under the name uncultured bacterium. Its description in RNAcentral is "partial 16S ribosomal RNA". It matches the Rfam family "Bacterial small subunit ribosomal RNA", at positions 28 to 507 of the family's 1533-position model. The record is from RNAcentral.
GAUGAACGCUGGCGGCGUGCCUAAUACAUGCAAGUCGAGCGAACAGACGAGGAGCUUGCUCCUCUGACGUUAGCGGCGGACGGGUGAGUAACACGUGGAUAACCUACCUAUAAGACUGGGAUAACUUCGGGAAACCGGAGCUAAUACCGGAUAAUAUAUUGAACCGCAUGGUUCAAUAGUGAAAGACGGUUUUGCUGUCACUUAUAGAUGGAUCCGCGCCGCAUUAGCUAGUUGGUAAGGUACCGGCUUACCAAGGCAACGAUGCGUAGCCGACCUGAGAGGGUGAUCGGCCACACUGGAACUGAGACACGGUCCAGACUCCUACGGGAGGCAGCAGUAGGGAAUCUUCCGCAAUGGGCGAAAGCCUGGCGGAGCAACGCCGCGUGAGUGAUGAAGGUCUUCGGAUCGUAAAACUCUGUUAUUAGGGAAGAACAAAUGUGUAAGUAACUAUGCACGUCUUGACGGUACCUAAUCAGAAAGCCACGGCUAACUACGUG